Molecule: ribosomal RNA, 851 nt
Filed under: Ramularia tricherae
Lineage: Eukaryota; Fungi; Ascomycota; Dothideomycetes; Mycosphaerellales; Mycosphaerellaceae
Description: eukaryotic LSU rRNA
Rfam family: Eukaryotic large subunit ribosomal RNA
Source: RNAcentral
AGGAAAAGAAACCAACAGGGAUUGCCCUAGUAACGGCGAGUGAAGCGGCAACAGCUCAAAUUUGAAAUCUGGCGCAAGCCCGAGUUGUAAUUUGUAGAGGAUGCUUCUAGGUAGCGACCGGUCUAAGUUCCUUGGAACAGGACGUCAUAGAGGGUGAGAAUCCCGUAUGCGACCGGCCCGCACCUUCUACGUAGCUCCUUCGACGAGUCGAGUUGUUUGGGAAUGCAGCUCUAAAUGGGAGGUAAAUUUCUUCUAAAGCUAAAUACCGGCCAGAGACCGAUAGCGCACAAGUAGAGUGAUCGAAAGAUGAAAAGCACUUUGGAAAGAGAGUUAAAAAGCACGUGAAAUUGUUGAAAGGGAAGCGCUUACAACCAGACUUCUGGGCGGUGUUCCGCCGGUCUUUUGACCGGUCUACUCGCCGUCCCGAGGCCAACAUCAUCUGGGACCGCUGGAUAAGACCUUAGGAAUGUAGCUUCCCUCGGGAAGUGUUAUAGCCUGUGGUGAUGCAGCGCGUCUCGGGUGAGGUCCGCGCUUCGGCAAGGAUGUUGGCGUAAUGGUUGUCAGCGGCCCGUCUUGAAACACGGACCAAGGAGUCUAACAUCUAUGCGAGUGUUCGGGUGUCAAACCCCUACGCGUAAUGAAAGUGAACGGAGGUGGGAAGGGUGACCUGCACCAUCGACCGAUCCUGAUGUCCUCGGAUGGAUUUGAGUAAGAGCAUAGCUGUUGGGACCCGAAAGAUGGUGAACUAUGCCUGAAUAGGGUGAAGCCAGAGGAAACUCUGGUGGAGGCUCGCAGCGGUUCUGACGUGCAAAUCGAUCGUCAAAUUUGGGUAUAGGGGCGAAAGACUAAUC